This 2202-nucleotide long non-coding RNA is filed under the name Brassica napus (rape). Its description in RNAcentral is "long non-coding RNA (BNAP_LNC009049)". Lineage: Eukaryota; Viridiplantae; Streptophyta; Magnoliopsida; Brassicales; Brassicaceae. The record is from RNAcentral.
GAAUAUCACAACAACAAAUUACAUAGCGGUAGAGUUUAGGUUUUUUUAGCUUUAAGUUUUGAGAUUAUUUUUUCGUGUUUAGGGUUGGUAGAGUUUUAGCGUUAGAUAGGAUUUAUGUUUAGGCAGGGUUUAGGGUUAGCAGGGUUUAGGGUUAGGUAGGGUUUAGGGUUAGGAAGGGUUUAGGGUUAGGUAGGAUUUUAGGGUAGGUAGGGUUUAGGGUUAGGUAGAGUUUGGGGUUAGGUAGGGUUUAGGGUUGGUACGGUUUAGGGUUAGGUAGGGUUUAGGGUUAGUAGGGUUUAGGGUUAGGUAGGGUUUAGGGUUAGUAGGGUUUAGGGUUAGGUAGGGUUUAGGGUUAGGUAGGGUUAGGUAGGGUUUAGGGUUAGGUAGGGUUUAGGGUUAGUAGGGUUUAGGGUUAGUAGGGUUUAGAGUUAGUAGGGUUUAGGGUUUAGACAAAUUAUUUGUGAUAAUUGUUUUUCAUUCUAUUUUAACAAAAUUUAACGUUAUUAAAAUAUAAUUUACCUUUUUUAUUCAUAAGAUGUGACUUUCAAAAUAUUUUGGCAAUUAAAAUAAUGGAUGUAAGAUUUAAAAUUCACAAUAUAAUUUGUUAGUUGAAUAUCACAACAACCAAAUUACAUAGCGGUAUAAUUUAGGUUUUUUUAGCUUUAAGUUUUGAGAUUAUUUUUUAGUAUUUAGGGUUGGUAGAAUUUUAGCGUUAGAUGGGAUUUAUGGUUAGGUUUAGAUAGGGUUUUUGGGUUAGGUUUAGGUAGGGUUUAGGGUUAGAAAGGGUUUAGGGUUAGGUAGGGUUUAGGGUUAUCUAGGGUUUAGGGUUAGGUAGGGUUAGUAGGGUUUAGGGUUAGGUAGGUUUUAGGGUUAGAAAGGUUUUAGGGUUAGGUAGGGUUUAGGUUAGGUAGUGUUUAGGGUUAGUAGGGUUUAGGGUUAUGUAGGGUUAAGGUUAGGUAGGGUUUAAGAUUAGCAUGGUUUGGGGUUAGAAAGGGUUUAGGGUUAGUAGGAUUUAGGGCUAGAAAGGGUUAGGUAGGGUUUAGGGUUAGGCAGGAUUUAGGGUUAGGUAGGGUUUAGGGUUAGAAGGGGCUUAGGGUUAGAUAGGGUUUAGGGUUAGAAAGGGUUUAGGGUUAGGUAGGGUUUAGGGUUAGGUAGGGUUAGGUAGGGUUUAGGGUUAGAAGGGGCUUAGGGUUAGAUAGGGUUUAGGGUUAGAAAGGGUUUAGGGUUAGGUAGGGUUUAGGGUGAGGUAGGGUUAGGUAGGGUUUAGGGUUAGGUAGGGUUUAGGGUUAGAAAGGGUUUAGGGUUAGUAGGGUUUAAGGUUAGUAGGGUUUAGGGUUAGUAGGGUUAAAGGUUAGGUAGGGUUUAGGGCUAGAAAGGGUUUAGGGUUAGAAAGGUUUUAGGUUAGGUAGGGUUAUGUAGGGUUAGGGUUAUGUAGGGUUUAGGGCAGGUAGGGUUUAGGGUUAGGGUUAGAUAGGGGUUUAGGGUUAGGUAGGGUUUAGGGUUAGGUAGGGUUUAGGGUUAGAAAGGGUUUAGGGUUAGUAGGGUUUAAGGUUAGUAGGGUUUAGGGUUAGUAGGGUUAAAGGUUAGGUAGGGUUUAGGGAUAGAAAGGGUUUAGGGUUAGAAAGGGUUUAGGGUUAGAAAGGUUUUAGGUUAUGUAGGGUUUAGGUUAGGUAGGGUUAGUAGGGUUUAGGUUUAUGUAGGGUUUAGGGUUAGUAGGGUUUAGGGUUAGGUAGGGUUUAGGGUUAGGGUUAGGUAGGGUUUUAGGGUUAGGAAGGGUUUAGGGUUAGGAUGGGUUUAGGGUUAGGUAGGGUUUAGGGUUAGGGUUAGGUAGGGUUUUAGGGUUAGGAAGGGUUUAGGGUUAGGAUGGGUUUAGGGUUAGGUAGGGUUUAGGGUUAGGUAAGGUUUACGUUUAGGGUUAGGUCGGUUUGCGGUUAGAUAGGUUUAGGGUUUAGGUAGUAUGAAGGGUUAGGGAUUAGGGUUAGGUUUAUGUAGGGUUUAGGGUUAGAUUUAUGUAGGGUUUAGGGUUAAGGUCUAGGUUUAGGUAGGGUUUAGGGUUAAGUAGGAAAAGUUUAGCGUUUGGUUUAGGUUGGGUUUAAGGUUUGGUUUAGAAUAAUGAUUAGGAUUAUAGGGUUUAGGGUUUGUUUAUGCAUUUAAUGGUGAGUUUUUCGGAUAAAAUUGUAUAUUAAUAUUAUUGAUUCAUAA